This 459-nucleotide ribosomal RNA is filed under the name uncultured bacterium. RNAcentral describes it as "SSU rRNA". It matches the Rfam family "Bacterial small subunit ribosomal RNA", at positions 26 to 518 of the family's 1533-position model. The record is from RNAcentral.
AGAAUCAACGCUGGCGGCGUGCCUAACACAUGCAAGUCGAACGAGAAAGUGGAGCAAUCCAUGAGUAAAGUGGCGACCGGGUGAGUAACACGUGACUAACCUACCUUCGAGUGGGGGAUAACCUCGGGAAACCGAGGCUAAUACCGCAUAACAUCGCAAGAUCAAAGCAGCAAUGCGCUGGAAGAGGGGGUCGCGGCUGAUUAGCUAGUUGGCGGGUAAUGGCCCACCAAGGCGAAGAUCGGUAGCCGGCCUGAGAGGGCGCACGGCCACACUGGAACUGAAACACGGUCCAGACUCCUACGGGAGGCAGCAGUGGGGAAUUUUGCGCAAUGGGGGAAACCCUGACGCAGCAACGCCGCGUGGAGGAUGAAGCCCCUUGGGGUGUAAACUCCUUUCGACCAAGACGAUAAUGACGGUACUGGUGGAAGAAGCACCGGCUAACUCUGUGCCAGCAGCCGC